Long non-coding RNA from Dreissena polymorpha, 1570 nucleotides. RefSeq lists it as uncharacterized. The record is from RefSeq and is a predicted model, not a curated record. NCBI's taxonomy places the organism in Eukaryota, Metazoa, Mollusca, Bivalvia, Myida, Dreissenidae. The transcript has 3 exons.
UAAUAUAUGUGGGUAAUGUGUCUUCACAGUUUUACCUGUGCAGUCCGAACAGGCUAAUCAGGAAAUACGCUUUUAUAGAUUAUUUUUUGUUUUUAGAAGGUCUCUUUUGAACAAAAUCAAGUGUACGCGGAAAGUGUUGUACCUAAUUGGCCGGUGCACAUUUCACACUCCAAUCUGUGAAUAUUAAGCCAAGUCCGCUACGCCGUCUAAGAUAAGAUAAGUACACACACCUUUAAGGUGCCUCAUUCUGGGACAUUAGCCUCGUUCUGGUAAAAUGGGGCUAAAAGCAUGUGAGUAAAGUUUCUGCUGGGACGAUACUUUCCGCUUCAAUUUGUAUCGACACAAUCCAUAAAAUCAUACAGUUUUGCCCCCGAUUGCCUAAGCGGACUAACAGGCUUGUGUGGGAAAAUACUUUAUGCGUAUGCAUGAUGCACAGUUAAGCAAAACGCGGCCAGAUAAGAAUUUGCUAGUGAUCGUAUUUAACAUGCGAUGUUUACGAAGGAAACUCGGAUUCCUCAUCGCAUGACAAGUCUCCAAGUCGGUAAUGUGUCAAUUGUAAAGGAUAACAGGGGCACAAAUCGGAUCCUCGAAUAGGACCUCGGCGCGGACAAACGUGAUAUACCGGUAGUUUGCAUCGAAAGCCUAAAGCUUACUGUAAGUAAAUCUCCCAAACCAGUUUCAUGGGAAGAACCAGUACUUGGUGUCUUUGGGGAGAAAGAAAGAAAGUUCCCACAGGGGAGUCGAACCCGUGACCACCCAGUCGCUAGACGAACACCAUAUCUACUACGCUUCGGCGACAUUUAAAUGGUGAGAUUAUGUCGAUGGUAAAGUAAGCAUAUGAAUGUGGAUUCAUGAAUGAAUAAGUGAGAUAAUUAUUAAUUGUAAUAUAUAUUAAUAAUAGAUGGUUUUCGAUAUUGGUUUGAAUGAAGAAAAAUGAAGAAAAAAGAGGAUAGAAGAAGAAACGGGUAGAGAAGAAUAAUAAAAAAGUGAUAUUAUUAUGUCGACGGAUGAGUGAGUUCCGGAAUAUGAAUAUUGAUUUAUGGGUAACUGAGGCCUCCAAAGAAAUGUGAUUUUCAAUACCUGUUUAAAUUAAGAUUGGAAAGAAGAAGAGAACAAGAAGGAAAAGUUAAGGUUUAUUUAUAUAGGAAUAUUGCGAAGUAUCUGAUUGGUGAAAAAAAAUACUUAUUUCUAAGCAACAUGCAACUUCAUUUGUAUUACCUGGUAAAUAUUGAGUUGCGAAAAUCACGAUAAUCCGCACGUAAAUAGUAAUUGCACAACCGACUCUUCUUCAACUUUUCAUAACCUUAUUCACCGGAAUUAUCUCUGGGUCCCAUCUGGUAGCUGGCAGGGGUAGACGACCCGACACGGUACCCGCAGUUCCCGCCCUCAAAGUCGCAUGCCGCCUGAUCAGAAAAAAACAAAGAGAUGUUAAUAUACCAACACCGGACUUACUUGAAGCCCAUCAUCCGACAAACGACGGUCCCUUGCCGCGCGCCAAAUCCGUCGUCGCACACCGCCCGCCACUCGCCCUCGUGGUUCAUCUUCCAGACACGAGCUGCCUUUUGACAUG